GAUGGAGAACGCAGCGAAAUGCGAUAAGUAAUGUGAAUUGCAGAAUUCAGUGAAUCAUCGAAUCUUUGAACGCACCUUGCGCUCUUUGGUAUUCCGAAGAGCAUGCCUGUUUGAGUGUCAUGAAAAUAUCAACCUUGACUUGGGUUUUGUGCUCUAGUCUCGGCUUGGAAUUGGGUGCUUGCCGCUUUUACGAGCGGCUCACCUUAAAUGUAUUAGCUGGAUCUGUCUUUGAGACUUGGUUUGACUUGGCGUAAUAAGUAUUUCGCUAAGGACAUUCUUCGGAGUGGCCUCGUUUCUAGGACGCUUGUCCGCUUUCCAAUACAAGUUCCACCUCGUGGACAUGACUUUUUAUUAUCUGGCCUCAAAUCAGGUAGGACUACCCGCUGAACUUAAGCAUAUCAAUAAGCGGAGGA
This 413-nucleotide unclassified non-coding RNA is filed under the name soil metagenome. Its description in RNAcentral is "partial contains 5.8S ribosomal RNA, internal transcribed spacer 2, and large subunit ribosomal RNA". The stretch from base 1 to 120 matches the Rfam family "5.8S ribosomal RNA", at positions 35 to 154 of the family's 154-position model. The record is from RNAcentral.